GUGUUUUGUGCUUCCUCUUUGGAAGUGGAUCACUAUUACUAAAGCAAUAGGAUUAGAUUGUGUGGAAGUUGGAAGGAGGAGGAUUUGGUAGGGCGGGUGUGUUUAUGUUCAACUAAUUCAUGCUUUAACUUACUGUAUAUUGAUCUUAAGUCUAUGACCUUUGAGAGAUCCCCAAGGCAUUUAUGUAGAGAGAAUUUAAAGAUGUUAUUUGGAGAACAAAUGUUACUUAAGAUGAAAACCUUUUGAAUUUUCAAGUAAAGCUAAGCAAUUUCAAUAUUUGCAUUACUGCUGGAGAUUUUGAAACGUUUCUUGAAUGAAGAGCAUGUGCACAUCUCAUUGUCACUAUGCCUCUCUGAUAUUCCUGCUUGUAUAAAGUUGAAUAAUGUACUGUGGUGUGAUCCCUUAUCCUUUUAACAGUCAGACUUUUCUCCUUGUAAGUAAAACUACUACAAUUGAUGAGUGUGAUUGCCAAGCGCUGGAUGUUUAGCUGCUCAGUGUUCUGUCAUAACUGUUCUAUUUAAGGGAGAAACAGUGUAUAUUGAAAUAGAAAUGCUUUUGUUUUCUGUCUCUAAUCUGAAUUUUUGUUUUGAAUUAAGGACAGUCUUAAAACCAAUUGCAAAGGAAAAUCAAAAAUGUCAAAAUUCAUUAUUUUCCACUGUAAGAAAAAUUUCUUGAGUUUAGUAUUUUGUCUCGUGUUUCUUAAAUAUAAAUGUCUUUAUAGCAAACAUUCAGUUCUUUGUGAGGAGAUGACAUCUUGCGUAUUAAAUUAGUUCUUUGUGUUAUUUUGAUAUUUAAAAUAAACAGAGUUCUUUGGUCCUAGUAAAGCACA
RNAcentral lists this long non-coding RNA (829 nucleotides) under Rattus norvegicus (Norway rat). RNAcentral describes it as "long non-coding RNA NONRATT008277". Lineage: Eukaryota; Metazoa; Chordata; Mammalia; Rodentia; Muridae. The record is from RNAcentral.